GGAAGCGUGGCAGAGUGGUUGAAUGCACCGGUCUUGAAAACCGGCAGGGGUUUAGGCCCCUCGUGAGUUCGAAUCUCACCGCUUCCGCCA
RNAcentral lists this transfer RNA (90 nucleotides) under Rhodocyclaceae bacterium. RNAcentral describes it as "tRNA-Ser". It matches the Rfam family "tRNA". Rfam says of the family: Transfer RNA (tRNA) molecules are approximately 80 nucleotides in length. Lineage: Bacteria; Pseudomonadati; Pseudomonadota; Betaproteobacteria; Rhodocyclales; Rhodocyclaceae. The record is from RNAcentral. RNAcentral also lists the same sequence under 1 other name.